UAUCCCCCAAACUAAGGGGGGAUGAGAACCACCGACCGGGGUUCGACAACUGGCGCAGCCAGUUGGACAGACGACGAGCUUGCGAGGAGACUACCCGAAGGGCGAGCGCAGCGAGUCAAUCCCCCCCUCACCGCCA
Molecule: small RNA, 136 nt
Filed under: Salmonella enterica subsp. enterica
Lineage: Bacteria; Pseudomonadati; Pseudomonadota; Gammaproteobacteria; Enterobacterales; Enterobacteriaceae
Description: RtT sRNA
Rfam family: RtT RNA
About the family: This family represents a bacterial cis-regulatory element known as RtT RNA. The exact function of RtT is unknown although it is thought that it may be involved in changing the cellular response in relation to amino acid starvation.
Source: RNAcentral